CAGAAUUCCAGGGUGCACCAAAUGACCCGGAAAACAACACAACAAAUUUUGGUUUUCUUGGAAUUGUGGACUUCAGGACACUGUGGCCAUAUGAAGGGGCUGACAUGGGUGUCAAUCAGCAUCACGCUCCAUCUAUAGGAUCGACUAGAGAAUAUUAAUAGCUACUAGUAAAAGACUGAGGACCAAGUGAUGACAUGACAGGACCCACGAUAGUCACCAUACUGUGCUGUUUCAACUCACCAUGUAAACCAACUCCAGUAAGCCCGCAGAAAGAAAGGGGAGAAGUUAUUUGAAGCAGUGGAACCGGGAGCAACAUGUCAGACAAUGAGUGAUGAAUUCAAUAUGGGAGCCAAACAAAGGAGGGUCCACAUGGUUCCAGCCAACAACAAAACCUGUUCAAAGAGAAAUACUAAACCCUCCUCUCCAGCAUCCCUGCCUCUAACCAAGGACAUGUUUGCUGUCACCCAAAACAGUGUUUAUCUUCCCUCUGUGUAAUCCAGCUUUGUUUAUGGGUUAUCCCUAUAUGUGGCAUUGAUAGGUGUGUAUCAAGGCUGUGUGUGUGCCACAGGGAAGGGAGGAGACAACAGGAAGCAGAAAAUAAUAAUUAUACACUGGUGUUUUAUUGACAGGAGUAAUAACUGGGAAAUGUGAGGCUGGUUCACAUUGCAUUAUGCCAAAGAAAUGCUCUGACAUUUUUUAAUAGUUUGAGAUUUUGGCGAAUAUGCUGAUGACCUCUCUUGGUGAGAGUUAUAUGAGAGGAUCGACACCACUCUCAUGUGUGUGGCGCUGGAGGCAUGAGGUGAUUAACUUAGCUUAGCUAGCAUAAUGGCUGGAAGCAGGGGAAAUCAGCUAACAGGGUUCAUGUUAGCUAAGAAAUACUUACAGCACGCAAUUCCAUGUAAAACCAUAAUUGGCUGUUUUUACAUUUUUAUGUAUGUACUUAUUAAACAGACAAGAUACGGCAUGUUAAUGUGUUAGCUUUAGAGGUGAACCUUAGAGAGAACCCUCUCGGCUAAGUUAGGCUAGGCUAAGUUAACUGCUAAAUGACCAUCACACGAACCCUAAAGUCCAAUGUGACAUC
Seriola dumerili (greater amberjack) is the source of this 1081-nucleotide long non-coding RNA. RefSeq lists it as uncharacterized. The record is from RefSeq and is a predicted model, not a curated record. Lineage: Eukaryota; Metazoa; Chordata; Actinopteri; Carangiformes; Carangidae. The transcript is spliced from 3 exons.